Molecule: transfer RNA, 72 nt
Filed under: Salminus brasiliensis (dorado)
Lineage: Eukaryota; Metazoa; Chordata; Actinopteri; Characiformes; Bryconidae
Description: tRNA-Thr
Rfam family: tRNA
About the family: Transfer RNA (tRNA) molecules are approximately 80 nucleotides in length.
Source: RNAcentral
GCCCUAGUAGCUUAACCCCAAAGCGCCGGUCUUGUAAUCCGGAGAUUGGAAGUUAAACUCUUCCCUAGCGCC